CAACCGUGCCCACAUGGAGGCAGCAGCAGAACCUGCAGGAAACAGCCACGUACCAGGCUUGAUCAUGCUGACUCAACAGCAUUGCUGAUGUCUCAGGUGUCCGGUCCCCAUCACAUCAGCAUGCCUGCCGCAGGGGCACGGCUCCAAGCCCAUCCCUUUCCUCGGCUCAGAAGCCCUACGCAGCAACUGCAUCUCAUCAACAAAUUGCUGAUCAGUCACCCAGGGUCACGGAGUGGGAAAGAAGCCACUGCAACCAAACUGCAGGAGACAGGAGCCAAACAUGAGCAUAUCACACUCAGAAUACGAACGUAAAUGUCAGCGACUGCCCUAAAACCUUCCACAUUCUCCACUGUUUCUCCCAUCUUAUCACCUAGGACCGAAAUUGAAGAGCCAGGUCUUGAAGGAGGAGGCGUGUAUCAGCUUUCUUGUGUGUCCUACUUUUAUUACACUCCCAGUCUUGCAGUCUUCCCCUGACAUCCUUCCCAAAUUGCUGGAGAAGAUGAAGUUUCCAGUGGGAAACUUCUGGUCAGCGCAGCGGUGGACCUCCUGCCACUUUCACGUAGUAAGAAAAUCAAGUGUGUCUGCACUAACUGCAUAAAAACUAAAAUUGCUACACCCUGUCAGCUGCAGCAGUACGAGGAUUAGCCCAGGA
Long non-coding RNA from Pygoscelis adeliae (Adelie penguin), 652 nucleotides. RefSeq lists it as uncharacterized. Lineage: Eukaryota; Metazoa; Chordata; Aves; Sphenisciformes; Spheniscidae. The transcript has 3 exons. The record is from RefSeq and is a predicted model, not a curated record.